RNAcentral lists this ribosomal RNA (402 nucleotides) under uncultured bacterium. RNAcentral's name for it is "bacterial SSU rRNA". It matches the Rfam family "Bacterial small subunit ribosomal RNA", at positions 355 to 774 of the family's 1533-position model. The record is from RNAcentral.
UGGGGAAUAUUGGACAAUGGGCGCAAGCCUGAUCCAGCCAUGCCGCGUGAGUGAUGAAGGCCUUAGGGUUGUAAAGCUCUUUUGUCCGGGAAGAUAAUGACCGUACCGGAAGAAUAAGCUCCGGCUAACUUCGUGCCAGCAGCCGCGGUAAUACGAGGGGAGCUAGCGUUGUUCGGAAUUACUGGGCGUAAAGCGCAUGCAGGCGGAUCGUUAAGUCGAGGGUGAAAUCCCAGGGCUCAACCCUGGAACUGCCUUCGAUACUGGCGACCUUGAGUCCGGGAGAGGUGAGUGGAACUCCGAGUGUAGAGGUGAAAUUCGUAGAUAUUCGCAAGAACACCAGUGGCGAAGGCGGCUCACUGGCCCGAUACUGACGCUGAGGUGCGAAAGCGUGGGGAGCAAACA